RNAcentral lists this ribosomal RNA (509 nucleotides) under uncultured bacterium. RNAcentral's name for it is "partial 16S ribosomal RNA". The record is from RNAcentral.
GGAGUUAGCCGGUGCUUCUUCUGUGAGUGAUGUCCUUCCUGCCGGCUAUUAACCCGCAGGCCUUCUUCCUCACUGAAAGUGCUUUACAACCCGAAGGCCUUCUUCACACACGCGGCAUGGCUGGAUCAGGGUUGCCCCCAUUGUCCAAUAUUCCCCACUGCUGCCUCCCGUAGGAGUCUGGGCCGUGUCUCAGUCCCAGUGUGUCUGAUCAUCCUCUCAGACCAGCUACGGAUCGUCGCCUUGGUGAGCCGUUACCUCACCAACCAGCUAAUCCGACAUAGGCUCAUCCGAUAGCGCGAGGCCCGAAGGUCCCCCGCUUUCCCCCGUAGGGCGUAUGCGGUAUUAGCCUGGGUUUCCCCAGGUUAUCCCCCGACUACCGGGGCAGAUUCCUAUGCAUUACUCACCCGUCCGCCGCUCGCCACCAGGGAGCAAGCUCCCCGUGCUGCCGCUCGACUUGCAUGUGUUAGGCCUGCCGCCAGCGUUCAAUCUGAGCCAGGAUCAAACUCUGA